Molecule: long non-coding RNA, 2002 nt
Filed under: Hordeum vulgare
Lineage: Eukaryota; Viridiplantae; Streptophyta; Magnoliopsida; Poales; Poaceae
Description: long non-coding RNA (HVUL_LNC007170)
Source: RNAcentral
UCAUAUGGUGAUAUAACAAGGAACCCAUGUUAUCACAUGGAAGCAACUACACCUGCAACUAGCAACGCUAUCUAAUGGUUAAGCAAGCGGUAACAUAGUCAAUCAGUAGUUUCCUAGGUCGUAGAAAGGUUGAAGGUUUUCAUGACAAUGUUGAGAGGCUGACAUUUAACAUCUGGUAGGUAGGGAGACAUAACAAAAGAAACGAGACAACUAGCAUUGCAUUGAUAGUAAUGGUAUCUAGGGAAAUGGUCAUCUUGCGUGUGAUCCAGCUUGGAAGAAGAACGAAUCCGUGAAGCAGCCGAACCGACGUAGUUGAACGGAUCCUGAAUUCCGGCACGCUUGUUCAAAUCUAUCAAGAAAAAGCGAACCGGAAACAAGAAUCAACACGCGAUAUUCACCAUGGCACAUGCUCUAUGUUAUGCACACCCUAAUAUGAUGCAUGAUCGGUUCAAUUAUGCAAGGUAUGGCAUGGCAAUUCACAACAAUCAAACAUACACGUUAACUGAAGCUCAAUAUGCAACGAGUUGCAUAUUGAUGAAAAUCCUCAUUUAAAUAUUUAAUUCACUCUCAUUUAGGUACACGAGAAUUUAAAAAUGUUGUUAACAUGGCAAGAGAUGAAGCAUGUGAUUCUACACGUCAUUCUAGUCGGUUUACGUAUAUAGCUCAUCUCCAAUGAAGCCACGGUUAACUAGCUACGAAUUAACCAGAUUUAGCAUGGCAUCAUGCAAAACGAGGCAAACAACAAGGUUAACAGUUUUAAAUAUGCAUGAGAGCUAGAAAAUAUUAAUCUAAAUAAGAUUCUACAUGUUCUACAUAUCUAACUUAUUUCGAUACGACGCACGGUUUAAAAGAUAUGACAUUUUUAAAACAUGGCAUUUUCUAAAUUGAUGGAUAAAGGAGAAAUUCGCACGAUCGAAAACACAACUGGGCCAAAUUGCACCAUAGUGCAGCAGCCCGAGAUUGGAUCAGGCCCAAGUGACUGUGUGCGCGUGGGUGAAAAAAGAAAAAGAAAGGAUGGCAAAAGUUUUAAGGUGCUAGGUAUCGAUCCAAGGACCUCCUUGACUGAAUCCACAGUGCGAAACAGCUGGGAUGGCUACCUGUGUGUGAAUGAACAGGGGCUCAAUUUUAAUUGAAGCAAAGAUAGAAGCUAAUACGUGGGAGAAGGAAAAAAUGCGUGAAAAUAUAAUGCAUCCGUGGGGAGUCAAAUCCAUGAUCCCAUGGUUCUAGACCAAAGCGCUGACCAGCUGGGCUAGCUGGGCAUUUGUGUUCGGAAUCGGACAUCGAUCUAUAAGAGAAAAACCAGAGGGUCUACCUUCUUCCUCGUCGCGAACAGAGGACAUCAGUGACGACGCCGACGACUAAGGAAGCGACCAUGGUUCCAAUAACCCACGGCGGGGGUGUGGAAACAUAUGGGAAUUCGGUUCCUCACCUUAUUGGGCUGGUGUGGUAACGCGAGCGGGCACGGGAGGGAGCGGCGCGAUGCAUAGGCUGCAUGGCGGGGUCUUCUUCUGCUACUACUCGCUGAAGCUUGUUCCGACUUCGGCGGGCCGGCUAGGAGGGGCGCGGGCACGGAGUUUGAAGGUUGCAGUUCCAAAUCCGGAUGCGAGGAGGCAGAUCGAACCGGAGCUCGUAAUGUGGCCAUGGCAUCCACGACACUUUGCCUGUUCCUGGUUCAAGGAGAGAGAUGAGACAGAGGAAAGAUUCAGAGUGGGAAAACACGGGAGAGAAGCAGGGAUAGAUGGCGGACGGGCGCGGCGCCACGGCGAGGUGGCGACGGGCGUCUGACGAUGGCUUGCGGGAGCGGGGUCCUUCCGUGGGGCUUACCCCCUAGUGGCUUGCGUGACUGCGGGAGUUGGUUCCCCGUGGUCGCAUGCUCGACCGCUGCUACGGCUUGGGCACAUGCGCGACACCAUUGCAGCAGCUGCGUGGAGUGAGCGUCGCCUCUGCUCGGCUGCCUUCGCAGCGAGGUGAGGAAGGGCACAUGCGGCUAGAGUCCUCGGGG